RNAcentral lists this ribosomal RNA (253 nucleotides) under uncultured bacterium. RNAcentral's name for it is "partial 16S ribosomal RNA". It matches the Rfam family "Bacterial small subunit ribosomal RNA", at positions 524 to 776 of the family's 1533-position model. The record is from RNAcentral.
UACAGAGGUCCCAAGCGUUGUUCGGAUUCACUGGGCGUAAAGGGUGCGUAGGUGGUCGGGUAAGUCUGAUGUGAAAUCUCACAGCUUAACUGUGAAACUGCAUUGGAUACUAUCCGGCUUGAGGAAUGGAGGGGAGACUGGAAUACUUGGUGUAGCAGUGAAAUGCGUAGAUAUCAAGUGGAACACCAGUGGCGAAGGCGAGUCUCUGGACAUUUCCUGACGCUGAGGCACGAAAGCCAGGGGAGCAAACGGG